CACCCAUGUUCAAGGCCUGUGUAAAAACAAAUCCAUACCCAUGGGUGCCAGCCUUACAACUUUUGAAAACAACACCGGCGCGGAGAUUCAACUGCGGUUCUUUCGACCCCCGGCCCGACCAGACCACUUUCGUAGGACCGUUACAAUCAGAGCGGGUGCGAGAGCCAAUAUAUCACACUCAGAGUUACGUUACAACGACACCAACCCGGAAAGCCACGAGGUGAUAAUGAUAUUUGUCGAUGGCGUUGGCAGCGGCGUGGGAUUGGUUCCACGCCAAGUCAUUAACUUCUCGAAAGUCGUUUGUGGCAUAAAUGAAGCUGGAGGAUUGGUCAUUCGAGGCGUCCCAAAAUGGGGAUGUGGAUGCUUUGCAGGAGGGGGUUUAGAGGACCUUGCAUAAGAUCGAGCCUUGGUGCUCUCGUCUGCUUCUCGUAGGCCUCCUUUACCCCCAGUUCCUGUGUUUUGUCAACUAUAUUUCUCUUGUCAGUUCUAUCUGUGUCACUAAAAUAAGUGUUGACUAUCCAGUGUUGUGUGGUGUUUGCUUGAAUAUUG
This is a long non-coding RNA of Mangifera indica (mango), 549 nucleotides long. RefSeq lists it as uncharacterized. The transcript is spliced from 3 exons. NCBI's taxonomy places the organism in Eukaryota, Viridiplantae, Streptophyta, Magnoliopsida, Sapindales, Anacardiaceae. The record is from RefSeq and is a predicted model, not a curated record.